RNAcentral lists this non-coding RNA (181 nucleotides) under uncultured Prevotella sp. The record is from RNAcentral. Lineage: Bacteria; Pseudomonadati; Bacteroidota; Bacteroidia; Bacteroidales; Prevotellaceae.
AAUUGGUUCGUACAUCAACGUGCGACGAAGAGGGAACCGGGUGGGAAUCCCGGACAGUCCCGCUACUGUGUGCGGCACUUUUUAGGAACUAACAGUAAUACCACUGACUAUCCGCAAUAUUCUCAGGAUGCGUCGGGAAGGUGUUUGUUCUUAGCCGCAAGCCAGAAGACCUGCCGUUGCA